ACUUUACCAUGCGGGCAACCGUGAUAAGGAAACCCCGAGUGCCAGCACAGGCUGGCUGUCCGCCAGUUUAAAUAACUGGUGAAGAAAGGGCCGGGCAAGACCGGUGCCAGCCGCCGCGGUAACACCGGCGGCUCGAGUGGUAACCGUUAUUAUUGGGUCUAAAGGGUCUGUAGCCGGCCGGAUAAGUCUCUUGAGAAAUCUGGCAGCUUAACUGUCAGGCUUUCAGGAGAUACUGUCUGGCUCGAGGCCGGGAGAGGUGAGAGGUACUUCGAGGGGUAGGGUGAAA
Molecule: ribosomal RNA, 286 nt
Filed under: uncultured archaeon
Lineage: Archaea
Description: partial 16S ribosomal RNA
Rfam family: Archaeal small subunit ribosomal RNA
Source: RNAcentral